Molecule: long non-coding RNA, 3861 nt
Organism: Gymnogyps californianus (California condor)
Lineage: Eukaryota; Metazoa; Chordata; Aves; Accipitriformes; Cathartidae
Exons: 4
Source: RefSeq, a predicted model, not a curated record
GUGGACAAUCCAGCUGACAGGACAGACCUUCAGACACUUCGAAGGCAAAAGCAAUGAGUAGCUGUAACACAUCUGAUUGAUAGCUUUACGUCUGUGCAUACAUCCACAUAAUAAUAUGAAACCGUUUCAAGUGAAUAUAAUAUCCAACCAAUGAAAGCACAAGCAGCUUCAACAAAUGUUCACAAUAUUAUUUUCAAGAUUUUAAGACUUGUCCAUAUACCUGAAUUCAAUUUCUGACUUACUCUCUGACAAAUCUAAAAGAGCAUAUUCCAGAAAGAUCCAAUGUUAGUAAAUUAAAGAAAAGAAAAAGGGAAACAUAACCUCCAGCAACGUUUUAUGAUGAUGAAUUGUAAGCUGGUGUUUUGAUUUAUACCUCGAUAGAGAUUUAAUUGCCUGACACCAAGAAAACCUGUCUGUCGUGCUGUGCAGGUGUUUAUCUGGAAUGACUAGAUUGCUGUGGAGAUUUUCAGGUAACUUACCCAUUUGGUUUUAUUUGCAGGCUUGAUGGGUGAAGAUGUUGCCUUUUGGUUCUCACGUUGUGUCUCUUCUCGGGUGCUAAAGGAGAGUAGGUUUGGUUAGGACGUUGCGGUUAGGGGACCUCCUUGCACCUUCUUCUCAAGAAUUGGGGCCUUUCAUAGAACCAGGCGUAGAAUUACAAAUGCAGGACCACGGUGGCAUUGAGUCAGCUUUUCAUCAUGUGCCUCCCUACCCGUUCAGCAAGUGCUCCCUGGCUAGUCUGAAGGCUGGUCCAGUCACUGGCACUUCACCAAAAUGAGACCGCUGGCUUUACCUGCAGUCUGAGGGCAAAGCAGUGCUAGAGCCACCCACUUCACACCUUUGGACAACACCAGCUCCCCGCCCACCUCUUUGCUGCAAUCAAAAUCACAGUUUAUGGGAAGUAUUUUAUGGGAAGACUGUUUGAAGACAAAAGUGCCUUGACAAGGAAGAAAGCAAAAACCACUCAAAGGCCAGACGAAGGGGUAUCUGAGUAUUUGCAGCUCGUACACACCUUGGGCAAUAGCAAAAGCUGGGGGUGAGAUGGCAGAUGGGCUGCAAAGUUAUUCUAAUGCGCUUUCCCUGAAUCAUCACAUGGGCAACAAUCUGUCUCCCCACAGAGCUAUGCUCCCUUGUGCCCUUGUCUGUACAGGGGAGUCAUCGCCUGCUCCAUUGGAAACGCAGUAUUUUUGUAAAUGCAUUACUCACUGACAAAAUUACUUUUAUGUCUUGCUGCUAGUCAUUGGGCCCAGCUCUGAAAACAGCAGUUCUUCUAAAAGACGUGUGUCUGUUCAUCUGCCUUCCUUAUUCCCAGUGAGAAUCCAAAGGGCGCAUUAAAUAUAACCUCAGACUCUGGUACAGAAAUAAAUCAUGUAACAUGUAACAUGACCUGCAUGUCAGUUAAGUAAGUCGCAUUGCAAUUUCUAUUGCACUGAUUCGUGUUAGAAAGUAUUUUCCUUUUAUUGAAAAGACUCUGCAAAUGCAAACUCCACGAAGAAAAAGAGCACAAAGCACGAGUACCGGCCAAGUCCUGCUGAGACUCUCUGCAGCCCACGGGUGACAGACGAGAUCUUUGCUGUUGCGUCCUGUGCCUCGCCAGGGCUGUGGUUUCCCCCCACCAGCAGCUCUCAUAGGGAUCUGCUAUACAGUGCCACAGGAGCCAAAGGUUGGAAAACCCAUUUUUAAAUGCCCUGCUCCAGUUUGGUCUCUGAGGGAAACCCCCAGGGUGGUGCUGGAGUAGUGCUGCCCACAGGCAGUACUGCUGCCCGCAGGCAGCAGUAGUUCAGGUAUCUGGGUUCCCAGAUAUCCCACUCUCAGACAAUUCUGCCUCAGCAAAACCUGUGCUUCAGGUCUCCAUCUGUGCAAGGGCAAUCAUUAGACUUUGCUACCACGCCAAGCAAGGUGGCUUCACCAGAGACUGUAAGAAGCAGAGGUAUUUCUGUCCCCUGGGGCACCCAAAUACAGUAGGCGGGCUGCUUCACACUGCUGCGUCCUGGGACGCGCUCAAGCCUGUCCUAUGGGGACAGACAGACCAAGUCAGGUAGCAGAACAGUUGAGGUCGGCUCAAGGCUUGCUGAAAACUCCUGGGUGAGCCAAGUCCAAACGGGAUCCCUCAGAGAGCGGAGAGCAGACCCAAGGGAGUCAGAGACUGCCUGCUCACUCUUCCCUAUGUGAGUUGAUUUUUUUGAGGCACUCAAACAUGUUUUUACUUCCUUCAGUUUCCUGUGCGAAGUGAAGAUGUCUGGCAUUCGCUGACACUGCUGGCUGCUGCUUCACUGAACUGGGAUUCAUUUUGUGAUCAGUUUUGCAAGCCUGAGGAAAAGCGGUAUUGUGCAUUGACCUGCUCCUGCUGCUUUUCAGGUGCAGCAGAAACAUCCCUGAAGUUCAGCAGUGGUGCUUUUUGGUGGCACCAGAGCCUUGGACCACUGCCUGGAGCAGCUGGAGGUGGUGCAAGUCCACCCCAAGAGGAGUGAGACCACAAUUUCUCCUCAGCAUAGUUGCCUGCUGCAAAACCACAAAAGGGGAAAGUCUGUAACUUGCAGUAUUUCUGCUCCAUCUCUUAAAGAAGGAAUUACUCAAACCCAUUAAAAAAUGUUACAGAGGUAAAACUAUCUAGCUCAUUGGCCUUUUCAUUUCCUACUCUAACAACUCUUUUUCUUUUUUUUUUAAAGAAAGCUAACACCACUAGGUGAUCACUUGUGAAUUUUUGCAUUUUCAUGGAACAUGCAUGCAAAAAGCCCAGCUGACGAUGAUUUCCAUCACAAGAUGCAUGCCAGCUUUUGUCUGCCUCUUCACAGAGAAAUUGGAUGCCUUUUUCGAAGAGGCGUUUUAAUUGGAUGGAAAUUACCGGACUCACACGGGGGCAAAUAGUUCAAACCUGUGGCCUGUAUCAUGCAGGCUUUUUGGGUCCAUGUUGAAGAACCCAUGGAUAGCCGGAGAGGGAGCCUGUUUCGUAGUCCAACAGUGGCUUCAGUUGAACUGCAACUCAGUAAUGAAGGAGGAAAAACACUCGCAGCACUCACCAUACUCUUAGCCCUUAUGGCUCCUAGGUUGAAAAAGGUUUCCUUCUGUGGACUGCAGGCCCAAAGCCAUCCUCACAGGUGCGAGGAGAAUGGAAUACCGUGCCAAUCCUUGGAGAUGUAUGUUUGACCCAGAAGCAUAGAUCCCUGUAUCGCACCCAGUACUAGCAAGUACCAGUCUAAGGACAGGUGAGUGCAAGAUGCUGCGUCACCUGGGAAGAAGCUACUUGAAGGUCAGCUGCUGCACGGUGAUCUCUGCGUGCAGGCUUUCCGGUCUAUGGGAGGCACGCGUAGGGUCCGCAUCCCACACAGCUGGCUCAUGAAGACAAGAGGAAGCUGCAGUAAGCCCCAAAAAGUUGCUUGGAUGGCAUGUCUUGCGCUGUCUGCUUUAUGGAAGAAAGGUGGAGAACAAAACUCCCCAGCGAGUAAAGUAACAGGACAGAAACACUGCUCCUGCAGUGUUGUGGUGUGCUUCUGUAGCAAGCAGCAGUUUAUAAAGCACUUGAUGAUACUCUAGUAGAAACAGGAAUUUUUCAACGCCUUAGAUGGGAAAGGGACUAAGACCAUAAUAGUAAGUUGAUUUACGUAUCUCAGAGUAAAUGUAAGAACUGCCUUUAGCACUGUAACACUUGUCUGCCUUGCUUAGGUAUUCUGAAGGAAAAAAGAAAUAGCUGAGAUGCUGCUUUUCUGCAGUGCCUCCCUAGGAUGCCAGAGCAAGCUUUCUCAGUAAGUUGUUAACGUAGGAUGAAAAGCAGCAUCUUUCUUUCUGAGAGACCAGGCUGUAUUUAUUUCCCUUAAUGCUGUCCAGCAAAGCUACCUGUAGUGUACUUGAGCUAUGUGACCACUG